Molecule: ribosomal RNA, 575 nt
Filed under: Aspergillus wentii
Lineage: Eukaryota; Fungi; Ascomycota; Eurotiomycetes; Eurotiales; Aspergillaceae
Also listed under: 1 other name
Description: eukaryotic LSU rRNA
Rfam family: Eukaryotic large subunit ribosomal RNA
Source: RNAcentral
AAAGAAACCAACCGGGAUUGCCUCAGUAACGGCGAGUGAAGCGGCAAAAGCUCAAAUUUGAAAUCUGGCUCCUUCGGGGUCCGAGUUGUAAUUUGCAGAGGAUGCUUCGGUUGCGGCCCCCAUCUAAGUACCCUGGAACGGGUCGUCAUAGAGGGUGAGAAUCCCGUAUGGGAUGGGGUGUCCGCGUCCGUGUGAAGCUCCUUCGACGAGUCGAGUUGUUUGGGAAUGCAGCUCUAAAUGGGUGGUAAAUUUCAUCUAAAGCUAAAUACUGGCCGGAGACCGAUAGCGCACAAGUAGAGUGAUCGAAAGAUGAAAAGCACUUUGAAAAGAGAGUUAAACAGCACGUGAAAUUGUUGAAAGGGAAGCGCUUGCGAUCAGACUCGCCUACGGGGUUCAGCCGGCUUUCGGGCCGGUGUACUUCCCCGUGGGCGGGCCAGCGUCGGUUUGGGCGGCCGGUCAAAGGCCCCUGGAAUGUAGCGCCUCUCGGGGCGCCUUAUAGCCAGGGGUGCAAUGCGGCCUGCCUGGACCGAGGAACGCGCUUCGGCACGGACGCUGGCAUAAUGGUCGUAAGCGAC